CUGAAACUACCAAAUGCAGAACGACCCCGAUAAAGGAUAUCUCAUCACAAAAUUGUGCUACACAAUUUUUUCCACCUGUUCUUCAAAUUAGGGGCAAACAAGGAGAAGGAGAAGACAGAUUUCUUCAACUCGAGGUUUACUUAGUUUUCAACUUCUGAUGUAUAUAUGGCUGGUCAUAAGAUAGCUCAUGCCACCUUGAAAGGGCCUAGUGUCGUUAAGGAGAUCUGCAUUGGAAUUGCGUUGGGUUUGGUUGCUGGAGGCAUGUGGAAGAUGCAUCAUUGGAAUGAGCAGAGGAAAGUUAGGCAGUUUUAUGACCUUCUAGAAAAGGGUGAAAUUGGUGUAGUUGCAGAAGAGGAGUAGUCUUGUUAACUCUUUUCAAUUUUGCAUAUCUACUCCAUGCCAUAUAUUUAAUGCUACUCUCUUUUGUCUUUCAAAAUUGUUGAAGUUGCAGAAUAUGAUUGGAAAAUUUGGAACAUGGCUAGGUUUUGCCAUGAUCUAGGUAGAUGUAAUAAUUUCAUAUUGGUACUCUUUUAAGAAUCAUCAUCAUAACUUCUGAUUUGUGAACAUUUUGUGUUGUUUUUUGUUGAAAUUAAGAGACGUGAUUAAUGAUAA
This is an RNA transcript of Papaver somniferum (opium poppy), 612 nucleotides long. It is a transcript of the gene named cytochrome c oxidase subunit 5C-2, with no coding region annotated. The transcript is spliced from 2 exons. The record is from RefSeq and is a predicted model, not a curated record. NCBI's taxonomy places the organism in Eukaryota, Viridiplantae, Streptophyta, Magnoliopsida, Ranunculales, Papaveraceae.